Molecule: ribosomal RNA, 253 nt
Filed under: uncultured bacterium
Lineage: Bacteria
Description: partial 16S ribosomal RNA
Rfam family: Bacterial small subunit ribosomal RNA
Source: RNAcentral
UACGUAGGGUGCGAGCGUUAAUCGGAAUUACUGGGCGUAAAGCGUGCGCAGGCGGCGCGUUAAGACAGGUGUGAAAGCCCCGAGCUUAACUUGGGAAUUGCGCUUGUGACUGGCGUGCUGGAGUGUGGCAGAGGGAGAUGGAAUUCCACGUGUAGCAGUGAAAUGCGUAGAUAUCUGGAGGAACACCGGUGGCGAAGGCGGCAUCCUGGACCAAUAUUGACGCUGAGGAGCGAAAGCCAGGGGAGCAAACGGG